RNAcentral lists this small RNA (2559 nucleotides) under Rattus norvegicus (Norway rat). Its description in RNAcentral is "uncharacterized LOC108349678". The record is from RNAcentral. Lineage: Eukaryota; Metazoa; Chordata; Mammalia; Rodentia; Muridae.
GUUUUGUCCUGGUGCUGGUCACUAGGGUCUGACUGUAACAGCUCCUGUGAUUGUGGAUCAGUAAAGCAGAAGCCCCAGGAGCAGAAAGGUCAGGAUACUAGGGAUGCAGAUGCACUGCCGCCCUGCCUGUAUAUGGGGUCCAGGCCACAUGUUCCACGACUCUUCUGGCCUGCCCAGGCUGACUGCCGAGCUGGCUAGCAGCAGUUUGCUGGCCCUCUGACUCUCGGGGUUCUGAUCUGCCUUCUUGUGUUGCUGGAAAACAUGGAAGAAAUCAGAACCAGACACUGCACAGGCUAAGGACCAGGUGACUGGAACUCUGAAGCCUUCUCUUCUAGAUCUGGCAUCCUGCACACGGGACGUGGGACUGACUUCUGUCUCUCAGCAGCAAACCCUCUCCCAGCAUUUUCCUCCCUUUUGAGGCAGAGUAAUAUUCACCGUGUGUCUGGCCACAUUUUAUCUGUCGGGAUGGGGAUGAGAACUCUGGUCCCCUGCAUCGAGUGCUGCCGCCGCCACCGCUGAGUUCAGGUGUGUCUGCCAACUCGGCCUGGAGUCCUGCUCUCACUGGAUUGUGGGAUAUUCCAUCAAGGCUGCUGUGGUUAUCCUUGGUCCAACUUUGUGUACUCAGAGCUGCCACCCUAUCCUCACGACGGUCCCACUUUAAAUGCUCAGUCCUGACCCUCCUGGGAAAAAUCUCCAUGAAGGCUUUACUCACAGAGCCUGGGCUGUUCUUACCUCCACCCCACCCCCACCCCCACUCGGCCUCCUACCCCCCCAAACCCCUCACUACUCUUCUUCUGAGGUUCCUCCUCUGACCUACUCCAGUCCCCUCUGUGUGGAAGGAAACACUGCUUCCUCACAUGCCCAUGCUACCUCUAGGCUGAGGCCUCUGACCUCCCAGGAGCUUGGGUAACUUUGAGCCUGGGAGCUGAUCUGUCCCCUCUCUACACCAUGGGCCCUUCUUCUUUUUAGGCUCACCCAAGAUCUGGUGUUAUGGUUCUGGGGAAGCUGAAACAAAUGUCACAACUGCACUGGGAUGUGGUUCAAUGGCCCGUGUGGCAUGUUCUAGACCUCAGAUUCUAUCUCUACCACUGCAACACGUGUGCACACGUGCACGCGCGCGCGCACACACACACCAAACAACAAUAACAAACACCAAAACAAAACAACAAGGAAUAAACAGAAUAUCACCAACCAAAACAGCAGAAAUGUAUUGUCACAGGCUGAAGGCCAGAAGUCCACGGUCAAGGUGGUGGGCAAGGUUUUUCAAGGCUCACUUGUGCCUCCUGAGCUUCUGGGGUUCUGGCAGUCUCCAGCCACUUAGCCGUGGAAGCUUCACCUUGAUUUAGGCCCCAGGUCCACAUAAAAAUCUUACCGCUGGGAUGCUCUGAGUGUCUGUGUGGCUUGCCUAUGGGUCUCAUGUGUGUGUGUGUGUGUGUGUGUGUGUGUGUCCUGGCCUAUAGCCAAAUCUCUUCAUAAGGACACUAAUGACUUGGGGUGUUGCCUUCCCUGAGCGUGCAUGGCCUCCUAUAAGCCACUCAUAUCUAGCACAACCCUUUUUAGACAAGAGUGUGUUGUGUCAACCAGGGUCAAAUGGUUGAUAUGAACUGAGCAGGACAUGAACGCUCCCACCUCCCUCCUAACCCAGGUCCCUGUGAAGCCACUGGUCUCUGACCAAGAGCAAGGGACAGAUCCCCUGGAAGAAGAUCAGCUGCCAAAGUGGCCCAGAAUCCUAUUGGGUCAGCUUUAAAUAUCAUCUGACAGACACUUCCCAGUCCCCUAUUCCUCCCCAGGAGCUGCUGAGGUGCUUGGCUCAUUCUGGGGAACAAAAGCCCUGUUAUCACUGUCACCUUGGAUGCCAGUUCCUUGGGGAACAAUUCUAAGGUCUGAGGCCUGCUGAGGGGCUGAGGCUGCAUCUACCUAUCCUGAGGCCGAGGGCAGCUCCAUGCCAAAGGUCUCAUCACAAAGGUGCAGAGGAAUCUGGGCCUGUCUUGGGGUUGGCUGUCAGGAGAGCCUGGAGUCCUGGAGGUGGGUAGCAAGAACAGAGGAAGAAAGGAACCCCUGCCUGAGGUCUUUCACCUGAAAAAAGCAGUUCUCAGAGAAACACAUAGCUCCCAGCGGGGCAUGCUUCAUCUCCAUGGACAACCUGACUAGGUUGGGAAUCACCUGGCAGACACUCCGCUGUGCUUGUCUGUGACAGAGUUUUCAGAACGGUUCAACUGAGGAAAGACACCCAGAAUGUGGAGUCACCAUCCCACGGACUGAGACCCCAGACUGAGUCGAAAGCUGAGCACCAGUGUUCAUCUCUCUCUGCCCUGUGGUGCAACGUAACCAGCUACCUCAGGCCCUGUUGCCAUGGCUUCCUGUACCGUCAAACUAAGAGCCUGAAAGGAGAAAAGGCUAGGCACCACACAUCUCUCUCUGCUGAGCCCCAGCCAUCCCCCCUCUGCUUCCUGGCUUAUGGAGAUGUGAGCAGGCUCUGCCUCCACAACCUCAAUCCGCCCUCAUCAUCCCACCUUCCCCUCAUCAUGAGUGACUGUGUGCCUUCAGACUGUGAGCCAA